This 253-nucleotide unclassified non-coding RNA is filed under the name uncultured bacterium. Its description in RNAcentral is "contains 16S-23S intergenic spacer region". It matches the Rfam family "Bacterial small subunit ribosomal RNA", at positions 524 to 776 of the family's 1533-position model. The record is from RNAcentral.
UACGGAGGGUGCAAGCGUUAAUCGGAUUUACUGGGCGUAAAGCGUGCGUAGGCGGCUUUUUAAGUCGGAUGUGAAAUCACCGAGCUUAACUUGGGAAUUGCAUUCUAUAAUGGGAAGCUAGAGUAUGGGAGAGGAUGGUAGAAUUCCAGGUGUAGCGGUGAAAUGCGUAGAGAUCUGGAGGAAUACCGAUGGCGAAGGCAGCCAUCUGGCCUAAUACUGACGCUUAUGUACGAAAGCAUGGGGAUCAAACAGG